RNAcentral lists this ribosomal RNA (834 nucleotides) under uncultured bacterium. RNAcentral describes it as "bacterial SSU rRNA". It matches the Rfam family "Bacterial small subunit ribosomal RNA", at positions 552 to 1397 of the family's 1533-position model. The record is from RNAcentral.
UUAUGGGUUAAAGGGAGCGUAGGGGAUGUAUAAGUCAGUGUGAAAGUUGCGGCUCAACCGUAAAAUGCAGUUGAUACUGUAUGUCUUGAGUGUACAAGAGGUGGGCGGAAUUCGUGGUGUAGCGGUGAAAUGCUUAGAUAUCACGAAGAACUCCGAUUGCGAAGGCAGCUCACUAGAGUACAACUGACACUGAGGCUCGAAAGUGUGGGUAUCAAACAGGAUUAGAUACCCUGGUAGUCCACACAGUAAACGAUGAAUACUCGCUGUUGCGAUAUACAGUAAGCGGCCAAGCGAAAGCAUUAAGUAUUCCACCUGGGGAGUACGCCGGCAACGGUGAAACUCAAAGGAAUUGACGGGGGCCCGCACAAGCGGAGGAACAUGUGGUUUAAUUCGAUGAUACGCGAGGAACCUUACCCAGGCUUAAAUUGCAGUGGAAUAUGGAUGAAAGUUCAUAGCCUUCGGGCCGCUGUGAAGGUGCUGCAUGGUUGUCGUCAGCUCGUGCCGUGAGGUGUCGGCUUAAGUGCCAUAACGAGCGCAACCCUUAUCUUUAGUUACUAACAGGUCAUGCUGAGGACUCUAAAGAGACUGCCGUCGUAAGAUGUGAGGAAGGUGGGGAUGACGUCAAAUCAGCACGGCCCUUACGUCUGGGGCUACACACGUGUUACAAUGGGGGGUACAGAAGGCAGCUACACAGCGAUGUGAUGCUAAUCCCAAAAGCCUCUCUCAGUUCGGAUCGAAGUCUGCAACCCGACUUCGUGAAGCUGGAUUCGCUAGUAAUCGCGCAUCAGCCACGGCGCGGUGAAUACGUUCCCGGGCCUUGUACACACCGCCCGU